This 809-nucleotide long non-coding RNA is filed under the name Equus caballus (horse). RNAcentral's name for it is "lncRNA (ENSECAG00000048817.1)". Lineage: Eukaryota; Metazoa; Chordata; Mammalia; Perissodactyla; Equidae. The record is from RNAcentral.
GAUACCCAGUGUAGGUGUGGUGAGGAGAGUCUUUGGAGCCUGGGGCCCCCUGGGCCCUGGGGAAGGAGGGCCUGCUUGGUAGGUUCCCUGCCAUCGCACAGAUUUCUCAUGAUUUGGUUUGAUGGGACUUCCCUCCCUGUUCUCCCUGCUCUUCCACAAUCUACCCCUGAGCAUCAUGACCAUUUCCGGAGUGGGUUAUGAUUUUUUCGAUAACUUUCCUGUCUAUUUCCUGCCUGUGGGUCCCUGAAACAGAUACCAGGAAAUUCUCAUAGCCUUCAGAGUCUCUGCUUCAUCUCUUCUUCAUUACCCAUUGAGCCUAACAGAACACACGGGGCACAGAGAGACACGAAUGUAUGCUAUAGCUCCCAGCAUUCGUAUAUGGUGAAGGGUGGGGUGGGGUUAUAUUCUUAAUAUUGUCUGAGGGCCAGCAUAACAGAUAUAUGAGCCCAUGUGGCAUCUUAAUAUCUUGUAUGUAGCUGCCAAUUAAGCGUUUACAGUGGGUGCUAUGAAUGUGCAAAAUAGUAUUACAUGUGCCUGGGUGUGUGCGUGUGGGUCAGAGUGUGUGGUAAAUGGCAGUUGAUGUUGAGAGGAAGUAAUUCAGGAGGCAAAGAAUCUGAGGCCCAGAGACAUUACAAAUAGCUUGCCCGAAGUGUCACAGUGGGGAUUCAGGAGCAGGAACUCCAGCGCAGGUGGUCUGGCUCUGGAACAGGUGCUCUCAGGCCCUGUCCAGACUUGGAGUAUUUUGAAGCAUAUCCCAGACUUCAAAUCAUUUUAUCUGUAAAUAUUUCAGUUGUGUUACUAAAAUAUCG